AUUGAACGCUGGCGGCAUGCCUUACACAUGCAAGUCGAACGGUAACGGGCCUUCGGGCGCCGACGAGUGGCGCACGGGUGAGUAAUACAUCGGAACGUGCCCGAUCGUGGGGGAUAACGAGGCGAAAGCUUUGCUAAUACCGCAUACGAUCUACGGAUGAAAGCAGGGGACCGCAAGGCCUUGCGCGGACGGAGCGGCCGAUGGCAGAUUAGGUAGCUGGUGGGAUAAAAGCUUACCAAGCCGACGAUCUGUAGCUGGUCUGAGAGGAUGAUCAGCCACACUGGGACUGAGACACGGCCCAGACUCCUACGGGAGGCAGCAGUGGGGAAUUUUGGACAAUGGGCGCAAGCCUGAUCCAGCCAUGCCGCGUGCAGGAUGAAGGCCUUCGGGUUGUAAACUGCUUUUGUACGGAACGAAAAGCCUUCUUUUAAUACAGGAGGGUCAUGACGGUACCGUAAGAAUAAGCACCGGCUAACUACGUGC
RNAcentral lists this ribosomal RNA (483 nucleotides) under uncultured bacterium. RNAcentral's name for it is "partial 16S ribosomal RNA". It matches the Rfam family "Bacterial small subunit ribosomal RNA", at positions 30 to 508 of the family's 1533-position model. The record is from RNAcentral.